This 301-nucleotide ribosomal RNA is filed under the name uncultured bacterium. RNAcentral's name for it is "partial 16S ribosomal RNA". It matches the Rfam family "Bacterial small subunit ribosomal RNA", at positions 509 to 807 of the family's 1533-position model. The record is from RNAcentral.
CAGUCGCCGCGGGAAUACGGAGGGUGCGAGCGUUAAUCGGAAUUACUGGGCGUAAAGCGUACGCAGGCGGUUUGUUAAGUCAGAUGUGAAAUCCCCGAGCUUAACUCGGGAACUGCAUUUGAAACUGGCAGGCUAGAGUCUCGUAGAGGGGGGUAGAAUUCCAGGUGUAGCGGUGAAAUGCGUAGAGAUCUGGAGGAAUACCGGUGGCGAAGGCGGCCCCCUGGACGAAGACUGACGCUCAGGUACGAAAGCGUGGGGAGCAAACAGGAUUAGAUACCCCGGUAGUCCCUGUCUCUUAUAC